RNAcentral lists this transfer RNA (74 nucleotides) under Heliconius melpomene (postman butterfly). RNAcentral's name for it is "tRNA HMEL008718". It matches the Rfam family "tRNA". Rfam says of the family: Transfer RNA (tRNA) molecules are approximately 80 nucleotides in length. Their secondary structure includes four short double-helical elements and three loops (D, anti-codon, and T loops). Further hydrogen bonds mediate the characteristic L-shaped molecular structure. tRNAs have two regions of fundamental functional importance: the anti-codon, which is responsible for specific mRNA codon recognition, and the 3' end, to which the tRNAs corresponding amino acid is attached (by aminoacyl-tRNA synthetases). tRNAs cope with the degeneracy of the genetic code in two manners: having more than one tRNA (with a specific anti-codon) for a particular amino acid; and 'wobble' base-pairing, i.e. permitting non-standard base-pairing at the 3rd anti-codon position. Lineage: Eukaryota; Metazoa; Arthropoda; Insecta; Lepidoptera; Nymphalidae. The record is from RNAcentral.
GGCCCUGUGGCGCAGCUGGUAGCGCUUCUGUUAUAUAAACAGAAAGGUCCCAGGUUCGAGUCCUGGUGGGGCUU